CUCGGGGCUGCUUGGAGUGUGUGUGAAAAUGGGCUUGCUUCUGGAUUUUGUGCCAUUUGCUCCCCUGCUUCCUCACAUCUCUGGAGUGCUGGGCUGGCUAAAUGUGUUUGGUUGCAGUUAGCUGUGCUGUGCCCUGCAUCAGCCUCCAGAGAGCCUGUGUCACAGGACAGGAGACCUUUCAGCUGGAGAAGUCAGCCACUGUUCAAGCUUGACCCAGAUUCUGAGGCUUUCAUCUGGAGAGCUUCCUCACUGAUUUUCAGUCUUGGCUGUGUGAGUUUGUCUCCAGACCAGUCUGGGAAUGUAAGAGCUGGGGAAUCAUCUGACUCUUGCUGGAAGCAAGAGCACCCACUGGGAGCUGUUCUACCAGAUGCUGGUGAGGACAAAGAUGUUGGGAGGAUGUUGAAGAGGAAAAGAAUGAUGACAAUGAAUGAUGACCUGCAGCUGUUGGUUAACCAAUCUCAUUUGGAAAGAAGGCCCAUAGCAAGAGGAUCCUGUUAAUAACUCCAGUGUCUGGAUGCUGGCAGGACUGGGGUUUGCAUGAGUGGUGAAAUGGUGAAAUCAUGCCUAAACUCUGUUCCGAAGCUGGGGAGGCAGAGGUAUUGUGAAGCUUUUGUUCCCCGUGAAGUUUUGGAUAUGUUUGCCAGCAGAAAUCAAAUGUGAGCAUUUCCAAUUGUUGGGUGAAAGGUCCUUAAGUGAAACUAUUGCUCACUAAAGUGAAAAAUUUGCCUGUUCCCUCUAAAAUUGCCAUCUUGUUUCCAGACCUAUAAGGUGCAUGUCCUAGGAAUAGAAUAAAAUGUAAGUUGACCACA
Chloebia gouldiae (Gouldian finch) is the source of this 809-nucleotide long non-coding RNA. The record is from Ensembl. Lineage: Eukaryota; Metazoa; Chordata; Aves; Passeriformes; Passeridae.